Long non-coding RNA from Arabidopsis lyrata subsp. lyrata, 669 nucleotides. RefSeq lists it as uncharacterized. NCBI's taxonomy places the organism in Eukaryota, Viridiplantae, Streptophyta, Magnoliopsida, Brassicales, Brassicaceae. The transcript is spliced from 2 exons. The record is from RefSeq and is a predicted model, not a curated record.
CAAGGAUAUAAUAUGUGGUAAAUGUGUGGCUAUACAUUUUGCCAUAAAAUUAUCUUUUAGGAUAAAAACAAGAAGAUUUGAGAUUUCCCCGUCAUAUAUUCGGAAAUUUUCAAAAUUGCUCAAAUAUUAUGGCCCCACGGAUUAAAAAAAGAAAAAAAUAUAUAUUUUUUCUCUUUACGAGAAACCCUUUCUUCUUCUUCAUUUAUUUGCCUUCUCCAGAUCUAAACAAUGUUCUUCCCACAUCGUUUAUUUUUUUCUUUUGCAGAUCUGUCCGUCGACCGCCGUCGUUCUCGCCGCAGCUCGCUCGUACACCCAGUUCCAUCGAGAAACCCAUAUUCGUUGUCUUCGUUGUCUCUCUGAUCUGGAAGAUGAAGAAAAAACUAUCUCAAAUGUUGGGAGAUGAAGCUUCCGCCGUUCCACAGGAGAUGAAUAUCGGAGGCAGCAAGGUUGAGAAAUCGAGGAGGGACUACGAAGACGAAGAGGAAACGUAACUUUUUUAAUUUCUUAAUUUUCUUUUAUUGUUAUUUUAUUUUGUGUAAUUAAUUAAUUUUUAAAGAAAAAUUCUUUAUUUUUUUUUUAUUUAAAAUUAUAUGGGAAGGUCACGGAUUAACCACGAAACUUUUUAGUGACUAAUAAAAUACCACGAAAUAUUGUGUGGCUGCGUCGUAA